UACAGAGGUCCCAAGCGUUGUUCGGAUUCACUGGGCGUAAAGGGUGCGUAGGUGGUCAGGUAAGUUUGGUGUGAAAGCUCGGAGCUUAACUCCGAAAAGUCAUUGAAUACUAUCUGGCUGGAGGGUCGGAGGGGAGACUGGAAUUCUCGGUGUAGCAGUGAAAUGCGUAGAUAUCGAGAGGAACACCAGUGGCGAAGGCGAGUCUCUGGACGACACCUGACACUGAGGCACGAAAGCUAGGGGAGCAAACAGG
RNAcentral lists this ribosomal RNA (253 nucleotides) under uncultured bacterium. Its description in RNAcentral is "partial 16S ribosomal RNA". It matches the Rfam family "Bacterial small subunit ribosomal RNA", at positions 524 to 776 of the family's 1533-position model. The record is from RNAcentral.